GUGCAUUUUUAAAUACCGGCUAAUCAAUUGUGCUGUGUUAGGUAAGAUAUGUUUUUAUCUACUGAUUCAAUCUAAAUUUCUAUUUUUGACAAAGAAAAACAUAUUUCUGACUAUAGAAAGAAAGUCAUUUCAUAUAUGGCUGAGCUACUACAAUUAAAGUCAACUCAUAGUGAUCAUUAAAGCUUAUUGAACUUAUAAUGCAACAAGCAAUAUUCUAAGCACUUUUUAAUGUUUGUUCACAUAGUGAGGGAAGGUGUUCUCUUUCCGGGUCCACAGGGGGCGUAGUUUUAAGGACAAGAAGUUACUAGCGCCAUGCCCCCCUUCCCAUCUGUCUCAAUCUGGGAGAUUUAACGGUUUAUGUUUAAACUUGCAGGCACGAGAAGAAACUAAGUCAAUCACUCCAGCAGAAGUUCUAGGGAACUCGUUUCGUUGGCCUAGGGUCUUAGAAGGUGAGGGUUCCUACCAGGUUAAAGUCCCCUUCUUCCACACCCCUUUGGACUCCAUGUUUGGGUCCCCUUCCACGGACACUCCUUUGGUGGAAGCCAUCUUUCUCUCUCCUGUUUCUCUCGCUCUCUCUCUCUCUCUCUCUCUCUCUAAAUAAAUCACUUUCUACAAACACUUUUGAGUCCGUGGUCUCCUCUCAUUCUUGAGAGGGCAGGACACCAAGAACCUGGAGAAAUGUCCUCUCAGGGGAGCUGAGGACACUCUGAACCCCAAUAUUACAAUAGUAGUCAAAAGAAGCCAAAGGUAAGAACUAUUAUUAACUCCUGUUUGAAAAGAAAAUGCUGAGGCACAAGUUAGCCAAGCAAUUUACUCAACAUAUUAAAGCCAAGAUUGUGACCUGGGAAGUCAGGCCCCAGAAUCUGGGCUCUGAGCACUGCACUGGAUAGCCCCACUAACUAAUAAGGAAAUUCAUAGAGAUUUAAAUGUUACUGACACAUGCUCAUCCCCCUUUAAUAGCCGCAUUCUAGAAGCACUUCUAAAAUAAGUAACUGUGGUAGUUUAAAUAUAUGUACACAAAUUAUUCUUUUUUUUUUUUUUUUUUUUGAGAGAGAGUUUCGCUCUUGUUACCCAGGCUGGAGUGCAAUGGCGCGAUCUCGGCUCACUGCAACCUCCACCUCCUGGGUUCAGGCAAUUCUCCUGCCUCAGCCUCCUGAGUAGCUGGGAUUACAGGCACGUGCC
RNAcentral lists this long non-coding RNA (1182 nucleotides) under Callithrix jacchus (white-tufted-ear marmoset). RNAcentral's name for it is "lncRNA (ENSCJAG00000075944.1)". Lineage: Eukaryota; Metazoa; Chordata; Mammalia; Primates; Cebidae. The record is from RNAcentral.